RNAcentral lists this ribosomal RNA (466 nucleotides) under uncultured Glomus. RNAcentral describes it as "SSU rRNA". It matches the Rfam family "Eukaryotic small subunit ribosomal RNA", at positions 569 to 1038 of the family's 1831-position model. The record is from RNAcentral. Lineage: Eukaryota; Fungi; Glomeromycota; Glomeromycetes; Glomerales; Glomeraceae.
AGCAGCCGCGGUAAUUCCAGCUCCAAUAGCGUAUAUUAAAGUUGUUGCAGUUAAAAAGCUCGUAGUUGAAUUUCGGAAUCAAUGGAUCGGUCAUGCCACUCGGUGUGUACUGGUUUGAUUGGUUCUCACCUUCUAAGGAACCGUGAUGUCAUUAAUUUGGUGUCGCGGGGAAUUAGGACUGUUACCUUGAAAAAAUUAGAGUGUUUAAAGCAAGCUCACGCUUGAAUACAUUAGCAUGGAAUAAUGAAAUAGGACAUUGUAUUCUAUUUUGUUGGUUUCUAGGAUCGAUGUAAUGAUUAAUAGGGAUAGUUGGGGGCAUUAGUAUUCAAUUGUCAGAGGUGAAAUUCUUGGAUUUAUUGAAGACUAACUACUGCGAAAGCAUUUGCCAAGGAUGUUUUCAUUAAUCAAGAACGAAAGUUAGGGGAUCGAAGACGAUCAGAUACCGUCGUAGUCUUAACCAUAAACU